CUCUCUCUUUGCCUACUGCCAUCCAGGAAGACGUGACUUGCUUCUUCUUGCCUUCCACUAUGAUUGUGGGAAGGCCUCCCCAGUCAUGUGGAACUGUAAGUCCAUUAAACCUCUUUUUCUUCCCAGUCUCAGGUAUGUCUUUAUCAGCAGCAUGAAAAUGGACUAAUACAGUAAAUUGGUACCAGUAGAGGGGGGUGCUGCUGGAAAGAUACCUGAAAAUGUGGAAGCAACUUUGGAACUGGGUAACAGGCAGAGAUUGGAACAGUUUGGAGGGUUCAGAAGAAGACAGGAAUAUGUGGAAAAGUUUGGAACUUCCUAGAGGCUUGUUGAAUGGCUUUGCUCAAAAUGCUGAUAGUGAUAUGGACAAUAAAGUCCAGACUGAGGUGGUUUCAGAUGGAAAUGAGGAACUUGUUGGAAACUGGAGCAAAGGUGACUCUCAUUAUGUUUUAGCAAAGAGACUGGUGGCAUUUUGCCCCUGCUCUAGAGACUUGUGGAACUUUGAACUUGAGAGAGAUGAUUUAGGGAAUCUGGUGGAAGAAAUUUCUAAGCAGUAAAGCAUUCAAAAGGUGACUUGGGUGCUGUUAAAGGCAUUCAGGUUUAUAAGGGAAGCAGAGCAUAAAAGUUUGGAAAAUUUGCAGCCUGACAAUGUGAUAGAAAACAAAAUCCCAUUUUUCUGAGAAGAAAUUCAAGCUGGUUGCAGAAAUUUGCAUAAGUAAUGAGAAGUCGAAUGUUAAUCCUCAAGACAAUGGGGAAAAUGUCCUCAGGGCAUGUCAGAGUUCUUCACAGCAGCCCCUCCCAUCACAGGCCCAGAGGCCUAGGAGGAAAAAGUGGUUUUGUUGGCUGGGUCCAGGGUCCCCAUGCUGUGUGCAGCCUAGGGACUUGGUGCCCUGCAUCCCAGCUGCUUCAGCCAUGGCUGAAAGGGGCGAAUGUAGAACGUGGGUUGUGGCUUCAGAGGGUGCAAGCCUUGGCAGCUUCCACAUGGUAUUAAGCCUGCCAGUCCACAGAAGUCAGGAAUUAGAGUUUGGAAACCUCUGCCUAGAUUUCAAAGGAUGUAUGGAAAUGCCUGGAUGUCCAGGCAAAAGUUUGCAGCAGGGGCAGGGAUCUCAUGGAGACCCUCUGCUAGAGCAGUGCAGAAGGGAAAUCUGGGGUCAGAGCUCCCACACAGAGUCCCUGCUGGCGCACUGCCUAGUGGAGUGGGCACUGUGAGCAGAGGGCCACUAUCUUCCAGACCCCAGAAUGGUAGAUCCACUGACAGCUUGCACCAUGUGACUGGAAAAGCCACAGACUAUCAACGCCAGCCUGUGAAAGCAGCUGGGAGAGAGGCUGUACCCUGCAAAACCACAGGGGCGGAGCUACCCAAGACCAUGGGAACCCAUCUCUUGCAUCAGUGUGACCUGGAAAUGAGACACAGACUCAAAGGAGAUCAUUUUGGAGAAUUAAGAUUUGAGUGACCAGCUGGAUUUCAGGUGCUGUGUGAAGAAUGGAAACAUGCAACAAUAAAGACACCAGUCCUGGUGGACCUGAUGGCCUAUGUCUGGUGUGGCGGGGGACAGAUAAGUAAACAGAUCGUCCUAUACGGGGUAGCCAACGCUAUCAUCUGAUAGAAGUAAGCAUGAGGUACCAGUCAAGUAUGCAAGUAUCUGUGCAUGAGAUGCUAGUCAAGUAUUUGUGUGUGCAUGUUUGAAGGCUUCCUGGAAGAGAUCACUGAAACUCUAAGAGUAGGUAGCCAGGUUAAGAAUGGGGGCAGAGCAGGAUAUCUGAGGCAGUGGAAGCAAUUUGAGCAAUGUGUGGAGUGGAGAGAGAACCUGACUUGUUUGAUAAGCUUGGAAGGUUAAGCAUAGCUAGAACAGGGUAUUGGAAGAGUUUUAUAGAGGAAAAGAUGACUAGAGGUAGGCUGCCAGAUGUUCUCUCCCAAAAUAUUUGACCAUCAGUGUAGCAGGGCAGAUAUUAGUGUGAUUAUGAAAACAUAUAUGUGUGUGUGUAUAUACAUAUGUAUGUAUAUUUAAAUGCAUUACAUAUUUCAAUCAGUGAUAUGUGUUUUUCUAGGUAUCUUUUUGGCAUAUUUUUAAGAAACACAUUUCGAAAAUUAAAUGUAGGUGUGAACCCUUCGCCACACCCAAAGAACCAUUCUUGACACUCAUGCAGAACAUUUUAUGCCCCAGUUUGAAUAUCUGACUUUGGUUUAUCUCACUGAUACCUGUAGCCCCUCCAAAGUAGUGGUAGACAGAGCUGAGACAAGAAAUUUCACAGCUUUUUCCUAUUGUGGAACAAACAAUCUGAGUUUAAAACAUAUUGACUUACUGAAUUAAAGUAAGUCACUCCACCUCUUAAAGACUCAGUCACACAUCCAAUUUUCCAGGGGCCUGUGGCCACUGAGUGUCACAGAGUGUGGAAGGCUGUAGGGGCCAGUCCAGAGGAGAGACCACAUGGCCUGAUUGCCCAGUAGAAAUUGAUAUUCACAAAAGAAUGCUGGCUCAAAAAAAUAAAUUGAAAAAAAAAAAAAAACCCCAGCAACACAGUGAACAGGUGGCUUAGUAUGGCUGGCCGUGCUUGCACUUUUUAAUGACCUGAUUUGUUUCCAAAAUUUGUUUUAGGUAAUGUAUUAGUCUGUUCUCAUGCUGCUGUAAAGAACUACCCAAGACUGGGUAAUUUAUAAAGAAAAGAGGUUUGAUUGACUCACAGUUCCACAGGCUGUACAGGAGGCAUGGCUUGGGAAGCCUCGAGAAAUUUACAAUCAUGGCGGAAGGCAAAGGGGAAGCCAGCAUGUCUCACAUGGCAGGAGCAGGAGGAAUAGAGAGCAGGAGGAGGUGCUACACAUUUCAAAAAGCCAGAUCUCAUGAGAACUCACUCACUAUCAUGAGAACAGCAAGGGGGAAGUCCGCCCCCAUGAUCCAGUCACCUCCCACCAGACCCCUCCUCCAACACUGGGAUUACAAUUUGACAUGUGAUUUGGGUGGGGACACAGGGUCAAACCAUAUCAGGUAACAAAACUCCAGUCUCAAAAAUGGUAAGUCAAUUUUAUUGCUAUUAUAAUUCUUAAAACUGGUGUUGAUGAUGAUGAUGAUAGCAGUUAUUUGUACAGUAACAUGCCCAAGACAAAUCCCAAGAGAGGAACAUAAACAAAAUCAAGUGGGGAGAUUUGACUUUGCCCAAGUUCUUCUCAACUAGAAAUUUCUAAAGGUGUUUUGUGUGGAGUGCUGCGCUAUGUGCAGUUUUCAGCUAUUCAACCUCAAGGAUGUCAAAUUGUUGGAAGAGAUUCAAAGAAGGAUAAUCAAACUUGGAUGGAGCUGACUUAAAGAAAUGGGCUAACCUCCAGAAAGAAUGCCAUUGAAUCCAGAGAGAGGUGCCGUUGAAUCAGCCCUUGCUGAUGAAGCCUCUUCACUGUACUGCUCAGACCUCUCCAUCCUGGUGGCAAGGGCUUAGACCAUUAUUCAUGGUCUGACUGGCCUCGAGGUGGCUGUCUCGCCUUUGAAAAAGGGCAGACACAGAGCAUGUUCAGAGCACGGAGCCAUACUGUGCGAUUUCUUCAAAGAGAGCUUAACCACAGAAUUUGGAUUAAUGAAUGACGUAACUGCUUCAGGGCAACACACCCUCACUGCAGCUGCUUAGCCCAGGAAGCAGCAAGGUCAAUACAAGGAGAGCCACAGGCCUGGGGAGAUGCAUGCCUUCCUUCCUGGCCACGUGGAUCUCACUACUUAGCCCAGAUGGCCUGCGAGAAGGACAAAGCCAAGCACUUCACAACACUGUCAGUUGCUGUCCUGAAGAAGGUGGCCAGGAGCUCUAGAAGGAUUCAAAGCCCCAGGGAUUUUUGGUUUUUAUGUAUACACUUCUCUUUACAUACUUGUUCCUCAACAUCCAAUCAGCCUUGCAGGUUUGUCCCCGCUCCUAGCAUUCAGAAACACUCAAGAGCAGGGUGGGUCAGAGCUCUCCACCACAUACGCAGCAGAGUGAAAGAAGCUGCCCUGCAGGACAGCUCCAGGCUCAUGGCCACCCCUCCUCACAUGCAUACCUCCUCCUCUUCCACCAAACAACAACAAACUCCUUCAUGUAGCAUUCACGCCCUCCUCUUGUGGCCUCUACCUGCCAUCCCACACCAAUCCCUUUUUAUGUCCCCACAGGUACCCAGGAGUCUCCCCUAACUAAAUUCCCCACUGCUUCUCCAAAUCACCCCAAUCCUACUUCCCACUGAAACUAACAAGAAGGGAAGGAAGGUGUUAACAAAUGAAGUCUUCGAAGGAAGUCACCCCAAGAAUCUGGGCCUACUAGUCAUUCCCUAAGGCUCAGCUCUUGGCAUUUGCUUCGUUCCCUGGGCCAUUAUUUUCAUACUGUGAAGAAAUUUCACCCUAGUCCCAUUUUGGAGAGCAAGUGUUGGUACAGUGCUGGGUAAAGACCCUGACACCAGGUCCUGGUCCCUGGCCCAGAGCAGGGGAUAUGAAGGGAAGCCCCACUCACUGUGUGCUCCCUCACUGACUCCUCAAAGGAAUUCCAGGAAGGGUGCUUUAGUGACCCUUUGGCUCACAGAGUUAGAGUGACCUGCCCAAGGCCACCCAGAGAAUGAAUGGUGGGACUGAGAUCACACCUGGGCCUGCCUGGCUGCCAAGCCUUUUGCUAUUUUCAUUAUUCCACAUUUCUUUCCAAGGAUACAGAAAGCAGGGAUAGGAAGUGCUGUGGAAACAAGCAAAAAGCCUUAUCCAUAGUCAGCAUCCAAAAAGUACUAUACCUUCUCUGACCCCUGCUUUAUUUAUUUGUUUAUUUUCAGGGAUGAUGUAAUAGCCAGAAAAAUAAGUGAACAGAAGAUUCCGGGUUCUACUUUAUGCCAAUUUUUCUUAAAUAUCUCAGUCACUAGAAAAAGAUCUAUUUGAAAAUCUUGCUCUGAGCAGUUUCUGUCUUGGGCCCAGUUGUUUGAGGAGCCUGUUGAAUUUUUAAAUUUAUUAGUGUUCCCAUGCUUCAUUCAUUGGCAUAUAUGUAUAUUCUCUAUACUUUAUAAUUACAAGUAAGCUCUUGAUAAUAAAAAGUAACUGUCAUUCUGUGAAGCUCUUUAAUGCAGCCAAAGAUAAUUUCAGGGGGCAAUUGGCAGUCUAAGUCCUUGCUUUCUCUCAUUUUAAAGGAGAACCAAAUCAACUUAGAGUGAAUUUGUUCAAAUGUGGGUAAGAUUUAACAGGCACUUCAGCUGCCCAGGGUACUUUUCCAUGUCUCUCCAACCAACCCCACCCAAAUAGCUUAGGAUUGGCAUUUUCUGAUGAGCACAGGGAUAGAGAAUGAGAACGGAGUCAGGUCCUCAGGUAUUCAAGGUUAGAAUUCCUUCUUAACCUUGCCCACUAUGCCCUAUGUGGGGACAUGCUACAGCAGAGAUCACUUGAGAAUUAUCCUGUGGCUCACACUGCCAUAAUUAGUUAUCUGUUCGGCACCUCUCAACUAAUCAGAACAAUGGCACAUCCAAAAGUAAAAGGAGAAGAAAGGAGACAAGAAUACAGCGACUGAAUAAUAAAAUGGGUGAAUCAGUUAGCAGAGCAAAAGACAGCACAGUCAUAGGCUGGCUAAGGUUAUACUUUUUGUUUUUUAUUUUAUUUUUUAGGCAGAGCAAGACAGUCUUGCUCUGUCACCCAGGCAUAAGUGCAGUGGCAUGAUCUCUGCUCACUGCAACCUCUGCCUCCCGAGUUCAAGUGAUUCUCAUGUUUCAACCUCCUGAGUAGCUGGGAUUACAGGUGUGCGUAACCACGCCUGGCUAAUUUUUGAAUUUUUAGUAGAGACGGGGUUUCACCAUGUUGACCAGGCUGGUCUCGAACUCCUGACCUCAAGUGAUCCACCCGCGUCAGCUUCUGAAAGUGCUGGGAUUACAGGCAUGAGCCACCGCACCUGGCUAGCUUUAUUAUUAAGCCCUGUCAGCACCCACAAAGAGAAGUACUGGGAUGGCACAGACAGCGGAGACAGUGACAAAGACCAAGGUUAAGGCUGGAGUUAUGUGGAAAAAGAAAAUGGAAUGAGACCAAGCAAUUGGGGAUGAAGAAUAAAAAGCAGAACCAGUGACAGCAGGGAGCAGAGAUCAGAAGGAACAAGAAGAUACUCUGGAAGAAUACAACCAAACAAGAAAAAGAAUGAAUUGUAUGUGAACAUUGAGUUUAGGGGCAAGCUGACUGUCUUAGCCAGUUCAGGCUGCUGUAACAAAACACCAAAAACUGGGUAGCUUUUAAAACAGAAAUGUAUUGCUCACAGUUCUGGGGGCUGGGAAGGUUAAGAUGAAGCUGCUAGCACAUUCAGCAUCUGUUGAAGACCUGGUUCACUGAUGGCGCCUUCUAGCUGUGUCCUCACAUAGUGAAAGGGGGUGAAUGAGCUCCAUUGGGCCUCUUUUAUUAGGACAAUAAUCCCACUCAUGAAGGUUCAUGAUCUUAUCACCUCCCCCAAAGCCCCACCUCCUAAUACCAUCGCUUGGGAGUUGAGGAUUUCAACGUAUGAAUUUUGGGAAGGACACAAACAUUUAGAUUAUAGCACCAGCUUACAAAUCUCAAUGGCUCCUGAGGUUGGCAUCACGGGAUUAUAGAAAAGCACCAUAACUGAGGCUUAGCAUGAGGCUGAGUCAUAAAGAGCAUUUAAAGUCAUGAAUGUGUUAUAUAUGGAAGACCACAGAGAUGUGUCAUAAGUUUUAGAUGGAUUUUGAUACAGUAUAGUUGAAAUUUAGAUUUUAUCAGUAAAAGCCUAAGCAUUGAGCUAUUUGCAAGGAUAACCAGUUUCCAACCAUCCCAGAUAACUAAAGGAUAGUCAAAAAAUCACUAUCCAAAGGCUAUUGUUGUUUCCAAAGGCACAGAGAUGUAAAAGUGGGGCCACCUUAAGAAAAAGACAUGGAUUCCUAUUGCUGGAUCAGAGGGUCCAGGGGGAGGGGUGGAGGUGGUGUGGAAUCGCAAAGCUCGGGAGACACUGAAUGCAUUGAAACAAGGGUGUGUCUUGAGCUACUUACGUUUUGGAAAUACAAUACUGGCAGGAUACUAUAGGAGACUGCAGUGGGAGAAAAAUUGUCCGCAGGACCAAGAAUAAGCAUACUGGAAAAUUGGAAUAAAAAACAACUAAGAUUCAGGAGAGGGUCAUGGAGGAAAGAAAAUGAGCACCAUGGAACAGUUGCCUGAGAAGACAGGCUCAGGUCAUAAAGACACCUGCCACAUACAGGUGUUUGAGUGUUAAAUACAAUACCUGCAAAGUUCUUAGAAGAGCACCUGACACACAGGAAGUCCUCAAUAAAAGGUAACUAUUGUUAUUGUUUUUAUUAAAUCAAUUGCAAAAACCAUGCCUUCCUUUUGUGUAAAUAUAAAAACAACAGCAUAAAGUAGAUGUGCUAAAGCCAAGUGAGUAGAUUUUUGUUUAAAAAGCACUCUAGUGGAGUUAGGAGAACGGUAUGAUGAAGGGCAGCCAGCAACUGAAAGCAUUUCCUGCAAGAAAAGGGACUUUACAACAAUUAGCCUUUCGGUAAGUUGAUGCUUAUAAUUUGUGAAGGUCUUUCACAACCAUUAUUUCAUUUGUGCUUUGUAAAAUCUAAAGAGGUUGAAAGAAGAGGAGAGACAGCAGAGGAUGGGGCUGAAAAUGUAUAAUCUUUGGAGGUGACAGCUCUGGCUUGAAGUCCUAACAGACAUUUAUUACCUGUGUGUGAUCUUAAUCAAGUUACAUAACCUGCCUGAGCUUCCAUUUUCUACAGCCAUAAAGUGGAGAGAAAAUGAGAUAUUGUAUGUAAAGCUCUUAGCACAAUGUCUGGAACGUGGUCAGUGAGCAAUAAAUGUAACUAUUAUUGUUGUGAAUAAACCAAGCCUCUGAGUUUGCACACAGCAAGGAGCUGAGCUGUGCUUUGAGCCUCGCCUGGUUUUCUAAGCCCAGACCCAUUGAUUUACUUGAUUAAGUUCUCACAAAUCUCAGAGAGUUAACAUUUUAUCACAAUCCAUACUCGAAUUUCUUUAAACCCUAUUAAUUUACCCAUAAAACCUUGCUUUCCAUUGUCAAGAAUAAGCACUUUGAAACUUGGCUAACCAGCUAUGUUGAUAAAAUAGCACGCCAGUAGAUGCCAUUGUGCUUGAAUUAUUUAUCUGGAAACGACUUCUGGCUACAGCACGAGUUGAUUCCUUAGGUGCUUAGUUUGGAUCACGUAGUUAAACUUACCAAGCAGCUGUUGGUGCUGAAGGCUGUGAAUGUAGCGGGUCUGCAGGGCCUCCCACUGGGGCCUGGAGUUGUAAAUCCUCAUAAUGCUGUAAAAGUAGCGCUGUUGCCCUUGGUUGAGGGCCUGUUGGAACAGAACAGGUGAUUUUGAUGAGUGUGUGGAGUUCCACAGCAUUCAAAUUGUGAUACUCAAAGCAAACUUUUAUGGAAAUAAGAGGCUUUUCUUGCUAACCAUAUGUUUUUUUUUUUUAAUGUGCAACAAUUGGAAAAUAACAACUGGGGAGUUUCCUCUCUUCAUUUGCUUAAACAGUCUUCUGCUAAUCUGUAUGAUGAUGAAAAUAUGCUGGAGCACAGUGGUGCGACUAUAGCUCACCGCAGUCUUGAACUCCUGGGCUCAAGCCAUCCUCCCACCUCAGCCUCCUGAGUAGCUGGGACUACAGCAUUAUUCUACUGGCUUCCUUUCUUUCUCAAGUGUCCUCCUUCUGAAUGCCAGCUUAUCUGCAAAGAUGAAGAGUUCCUAAAGAAAAGGGAAGAAGAAAUAUCAAAAGAAAAUACAUUCAAAAUUCUUAGGAGACUAAGGGGAAGAAAAAAGCAGGGAGAUGAGAGUGAUGAAUCAUAUGCCUUAAAGAAGAAAGGGCUCAACAGAUGCAAAAGUCUUGCAUUUUUUCCCCAGUAAUUUGAAUGCAGACCUCCUGGGAAAUAAGCACAGCACAAACAAGUGUCUUUAAAUGCCAGUAAAUAACAUAAAAUCUUUCACUGGAUCUGAGAGGUUGAUGAUUCUUUACCAAGAGAUAAAGAACAGUGGUGUGCAGAGUUGACAUUGUCAAUCGAGUCUUCCUCAAACGUUUUUCCAGGAUAUGAUGAAAUUCAUUCUGGGUGCACUGCAUCUGCUGAUGUUGCACACACAUGCUGAAAUUCCUACCAGCUUGCCUUGGACGCUACUCAAUCAGGAGAACAGUAACAGAUCUGUGUUUGACAGAGGGCAUUUAAUGUAAGGAAUCUGUUAUGAAAAUAUAGAAAUGGGUUAGAGGAGUAAAACAAGAAGGGUUAGGUUAUCCAAGGACUGGCAAUUGCACUAAACUGUGAUUGCACAUAGAGCUGGAGGACAAUAGGGAAAAUGAUUUUACCCACAGCCCAUGGACACUGUGCCAUAGAGGCUGCUUCCUUUGGAGAACUGCUGCCUGAGCAGCGCCUCAGGAACCUGUGCUCACCAGGCACCCUUGCUUCUAUGUUCUUGCCCAAACUGCUAAUCUUGCUGUUGCUGUCACCACUGUUGCUGUCCAUGUGGCUGCUGCUGCUGGCACUGCCACAGGUGCAAGCAGAAAGUAUUUUUAAAAAAUGGCUUCUUCCCUCCAGCCUUCAUUCAUGUCCUGCCCUCCAUUGGAUGCCAGCUAGCAAGGGAUUUUGGGAAAUGUAUUUUGCAGUCUUCCUACUACUCUGAUAAACAGAAGGGUAUAGAAGAAUCAACAUGAGGCCGACAGAUGGUGGACACUCUCUAACACAAACACAAAUCUAAGAGGUACCUUUGGGACCUAUGAAGUCAGGCAGGAGGAUGAAGGACUUAGACAUACAGUCAAUGUUUACCUAACAUCACUGAAAGUUGUCAAUUUAUAAGAAAAGAGGAAAUAAGAUAAAACUAGCUAUGUAGAUGGUAUCAAAGAAUGAGAUCUAAAUUUGUAGACAUAUUUUAAAAUAUAAGAAUGAGGGAGUAAUGCAUAUCCUAAGUUUGGGACAAAAAAUGUUUUCCCAAAGACUAGUUUAACAUUUCAAAAAGGAUUUAAACUGAUUACAAAAAAAAUGGGAAAGAAACACCCAUAAUCUAAUUACUAUAGGGAAUACAAUGUCAACUAUUAGUAGAAAAGUUGUACUAUUUCACAGUUAAAAUAUUGGUACAGCAAUGAGACUCACUGCUUAAGACAUUGGCUGUUUAGAAGGUGGGUGAUAAAGUGUUUUCAUGGAAUAUCAGGGUAAAUGUGACCUCAUGAGUGAUACCAAGUGAGGAAGAGGGACUCCUGAUUGGAAUCCAAGAUGAAGUUAAACUCUAAUUCAAAGAAACCCACCUGCUAGAGGGAGAGUGCCACUGUACAUCAUGGAGGUACACACUUUCCCGAAAAACUAUGAACCCGGAAGGAAAUGCUCUGCUCACAUCCUUUUGCCAGGAUCCUCUUAGCUGCAGAGAUGUCUGUGAGGUUGUCUCUGCCAGGCACAGACAUGCUGCUUGACUAUCCAAGCCCUCAGAGGACCUCCAUGCUCCUUAAGGAAGAGAAGGCAGUGUCCCUCUCCCCACUCUACUGCUGUUUAUCCCCUGGACUCUACUUAGUCUUCUAGAGUCUUGGUUGAAUUUCAUUUCCCAUUGAGCUAUGUAGUCCCUUGAGCUCAAAUUUUUUGGUGGGGGAAGAGGAGUUAGUUAUUCCUAAUUAUCUUGUUUUUUCUUUGACCUCUUCAUAGAAAACCCCUACUUUUCUGAGAUUCCAAAACAAAAGCUGUCAUAUACACCAAACCUAUAGGAGCCACUGGUCACAAAAAUAGGGAUAUUUAGAGUCAGUCUUAGUUUGGAUUAUAAGAACCACUUUUAGUGAGUGAAAACUACUUGGGACACUUAGAAGCAGUGAUUAUCGGCAAAAGAAAAACUGGAUGUGGUCAGAUACGUGCUAAGACUUUGGAAAAACAGAUUUCAAACAAUUCGGGAAAAAAGUCUAAAGUGGACUUGAGAAGGGAAUAUCCAGAGAUUUAGUUUCAACCCUAUAAUCUCAAAUAAAAUCUAUAGAAGAAAGAGAUAAGAUAUCAAAAGAUUUGCAUUUCUCUGAUGGCCAGUGAUGAUGAGCAUUUUUUCAUGUGUUUUUUGGCUGCAUAAAUGUCUUCUUUUGAGAAGUGUCUGUUCAUGUCCUUCGCCCACUUUUUGAUGGGGUUGUUUGUUUUUUUCUUGUAAAUUUGUUUGAGUUCAUCGUAGAUUCUGGAUAUUAGCC
RNAcentral lists this long non-coding RNA (11099 nucleotides) under Homo sapiens (human). RNAcentral describes it as "non-protein coding LINC01050:2". Lineage: Eukaryota; Metazoa; Chordata; Mammalia; Primates; Hominidae. The record is from RNAcentral.